CAUUCUUAGAACCCUGGUCCCUUCUUUUGGAUCACUUACUAUGAGAGAAGCCAGCUGACAUAGCGUGAGGACACCCCAGCAGCCAGCCAAGAGGAGAAGUGAGCAACUGAGGCCUCUUGCCAUAGCUACAAAGGCCCUGUCAGAACUGGACUACCCAGCUCCAGCAGCACUCAGAUGUCCACAGGCUCAGCUAACUUCUAGACUGGAGCCUCAGGACAUGCCCUGAGUCAGGACUACCCAGCUAAGCUGCUCCCAAAUUCUGGACUGCACUGGAAAUGACAGCAAACAUUUUGAACACACAGUGAAUGCAAAGGUGAAUCAGGGAUCAGUUUUUGGCCUUCAUUCUGAAUGGGGAGUACUUAGAAGUCUUUGCUCAAUGUCAUCAGCCUGAGGUUAUGAGCCUUAGAAAAGCUCAUUCCCCCAAGAAUCUGUUUCUUUAUCUGCAUAGAAAAACAACACCCACUCUGCUGUGCUGCUGUGAGACGUGAAAAAACAGUUCAAUGUACAAGUGCCCAUCAGUCAAUAGAUGUUAGUGACGUAAAUAUAUUUCCUUUCUUGCCAUUCAUUCUAAUUUUUUUUUUUUUUGGUACCAGAGAUCGAACUCAGGUCCUUUCGCUUGCGCAGCAGGCGGUGAAACCACUGAGCUAAAUCGCUGGCCCUUCAUUCUGAUUUUAAUCCUUGUUUUGGAUGCUUACUCUUUGACGUCACUCUUAUUUAGCUUUUAUGUUUGCUGUUUGUUUGUUUGUUUGUUUUGAGACAGGGUCUUGCUAUGUAGUUCAGGCUGGAUUUAAUUCUUUAUAUAACCCAUGUGAUCCUUAAACUCAUGGUGAUCCUCCUGCCUCAGCCUCCUGUAUACUGGGAUUACACAUGUGUGCUAUUUACUCUUAUUUAGGUAUGGGCCUGCCCUGCUUUUAGACUUACUUUGCCUUGCUGGCUACAGCUGACUCUUGGCUUGGACUUGCUCUUCUUGAAAUUCUUUGCCCCAGAUUCCAGUUUCUGUUCCUACUGCUUUUCCUAAAUUUCUAAUUAAAUUCAGUCCAUAAGAAAUUUGAAGGUUGAUUAUCUGACACUUUGAACCUUUAGGGGCACAUUAUAAUUCAAGUUGUAUGUAAAAUUAGAGGCCA
RNAcentral lists this long non-coding RNA (1124 nucleotides) under Heterocephalus glaber (naked mole-rat). RNAcentral's name for it is "lncRNA (ENSHGLG00000045605.1)". Lineage: Eukaryota; Metazoa; Chordata; Mammalia; Rodentia; Bathyergidae. The record is from RNAcentral.